RNAcentral lists this ribosomal RNA (863 nucleotides) under Helminthosporium chiangraiense. RNAcentral describes it as "Helminthosporium sp. SB-2021a partial large subunit ribosomal RNA". It matches the Rfam family "Eukaryotic large subunit ribosomal RNA", at positions 71 to 952 of the family's 3401-position model. Lineage: Eukaryota; Fungi; Ascomycota; Dothideomycetes; Pleosporales; Massarinaceae. The record is from RNAcentral.
GGGAUUGCCUUAGUAACGGCGAGUGAAGCGGCAACAGCUCAAAUUUGAAAUCUGGCCUCCUUUGGGGGUCCGAGUUGUAAUUUGCAGAGGGUGCUUUGGCGUUGGUGGCGGUCUAAGUUCCUUGGAACAGGACAUCGCAGAGGGUGAGAAUCCCGUUUGUGGUCGCCUACCUUCGCCGUGUAAAGCCCCUUCAACGAGUCGAGUUGUUUGGGAAUGCAGCUCUAAAUGGGAGGUAAAUUUCUUCUAAAGCUAAAUACUGGCCAGAGACCGAUAGCGCACAAGUAGAGUGAUCGAAAGAUGAAAAGCACUUUGGAAAGAGAGUCAAAUAGCACGUGAAAUUGUUGAAAGGGAAGCGCUUGCAGCCAGACUUGCCCGCAGUUGCUCACCUAGGCUUUUGCCUGGGGCACUCUUCUGCGGGCAGGCCAGCAUCAGUUUGGGCGGUCGGAUAAAGGCCUCUGUCACGUAUCUUCCUUCGGGAUGACCUUAUAGGGGAGGCGACAUGCGACCAGCCUGGACUGAGGUCCGCGCAUCUGCUAGGAUGCUGGCGUAAUGGCUGUAAGCGGCCCGUCUUGAAACACGGACCAAGGAGUCUAACAUCUAUGCGAGUGUUUGGGUGUCAAGCCCGAGCGCGCAAUGAAAGUGAACGUAGGUGGGAACCUUCGGGUGCACCAUCGACCGAUCCUGAUGUCUUCGGAUGGAUUUGAGUAAGAGCAUAGCUGUUGGGACCCGAAAGAUGGUGAACUAUGCUUGAAUAGGGUGAAGCCAGAGGAAACUCUGGUGGAGGCUCGCAGCGGUUCUGACGUGCAAAUCGAUCGUCAAAUUUGGGCAUAGGGGCGAAAGACUAAUCGAACUAUCUAGUAGCU